CUCCCCCAUGACACCAGGCUUGCAGCUGCACUGGCCGUAGCUAUCACACUGUGUGCUGAGAGAGCCCACGGGGUUGCAGCUGCAGGGCAGGCAGCCCUCCUCGCUCCCGAGGCGGUAGAAGCUGUCCCUGCACCUCUCGCAGUGGGCGCCGUCGGUGUUGUCCCGGCAGCCCAUGCAGUGCCCGCCGUGGCCGGUGGAGCGGUACAGCUCGGGGUCGAAGUAGCACUCCUGUGACCUCCCAUUGCAGUCACAAGGCAAGCACUCGUUGGCACUUUCUGCUGUUGCUCUCCUCCACGGCCGGUCAUUGAAGAAGGGAAGGCACUUCUCACAGUCAUCCCCAAAGGUGUUGUGCUUGCAGUUGCAGACCAGCUUCCCAAGCUCGUUCCUUAUGCACUCGCUCGCAUGGCCAUUGCAUUUGCAUCUUCCACCCACGGCAAAAUCAGAAAUCGCGUAGUAAUACGACUUGAGGACUUUGGGGUCAUUGAAAACUUCAUCUCCGAAGGUGUUGAGGCGGUUGAGGCUCACCCUAAUAUCGGUGGCCGUCACCCAUUCCUGCAGCACGGGGCUGUUGUCAAAGUUGUAGGCGCUGGGACGCCCCUCCAACGUUGAGAAAGCCACGUUGCCCCCAGUGAGGGGGGAGAUGUCACUGAACUCAUCCGUGCACAGCGCCUGCUGCUCGUCCUCCCCAGUCCGAAUAAAGCCCCGGUUGACUUUGUUGUAGGUGCUCUCACACGACCCGCUGUAAUACUGGUAGGGCACCCACGGGCCAUCCUCCCGCGUGCGUUUGUAGAUGGCGAAGCUCUCUGGCCGGCUGGUGUGGAACUUCAGCCGCACGUAGGUGAUGUCAAAGGCCUUUCCGAGGUGCAGGGUGAGGUUGACGGCGGCGGGGUGCUGCACGCCGGCCAGCAUGCUCUGGCUCUGCCACCAGGUGCUGUCGGCCUGGCUGUUGUAGUCGGUGAGGAAGGAGGCGCCGUGCCGCAGGUGGGGCUGGGAGGCGUCGCACAGGUGGCACGACUGGGUUACGCCGGUGACGCCGGUCUGCACGCAGUACUCCUCGGCCGGCGUGCCGCACGUGUUGGUGGCCACCACCGUGGCGUUGAAAGCGGCGUUGACGAACUCGGGCAUGCAGCGCUGCGGCCGCCCGCUCCGCUCCUCCGUGCACUCGUCCAUCGCCGCGCCGCCGCCGCGGGGCAGCGCCAGCACGGCCAGCAGCGCCAGCACCCGCAGCAGCGCCCGCCGCCCGCCAACGCCGCCCAUGGCUCGGCCCGGGGCCGCUGCGGAGCGCGGCUGUGCGGGGCUGCUGUGCCGCUGGGCCGGGCCGCGCCGCGGCGGGCGGGGCUGGCAG
RNAcentral lists this long non-coding RNA (1345 nucleotides) under Gallus gallus (chicken). Lineage: Eukaryota; Metazoa; Chordata; Aves; Galliformes; Phasianidae. The record is from RNAcentral.